CACGGGAGGCAGCAGUGGGRAAUAYUGCACAAUGGGCGCAARCCUGAUGCAGCGACGCCGCGUGAGGGAUGACGGCCUUCGGGUUGUAAACCUCUUUCAGUAGGGAAGAAGCGAAAGUGACGGUACCUGCAGAAGAAGCACCGGCUAACUACGUGCCAGCAGCCGCGGUAAUACGUAGGGUGCGAGCGUUAUCCGGAAUUAUUGGGCGUAAAGAGCUCGUAGGCGGUUUGUCGCGUCUGUCGUGAAAGUCCGGGGCUUAACCCCGGAUCUGCGGUGGGUACGGGCAGACUAGAGUGCAGUAGGGGAGACUGGAAUUCCUGGUGUAGCGGUGGAAUGCGCAGAUAUCAGGAGGAACACCGAUGGCGAAGGCAGGUCUCUGGGCUGUAACUGACGCUGAGGAGCGAAAGCAUGGGGAGCGAACAGGAUUAGAUACCCUGGUAGUCCAUGCCGUAAACGUUGGGCACUAGGUGUGGGGACCAUUCCACGGUUUCCGCGCCGCAGCUAACGCAUUAAGUGCCCCGCCUGGGGAGUACGGCCGCAAGGCUAAAACUCAAAGGAAUUGACGGGGGCCCGCACAAGCGGCGGAGCAUGCGGAUUAAUUCGAUGCAACGCGAAGAACCUUACCAAGGCUUGACAUGUUCUCGAUCGCCGUAGAGAUACGGUUUCCCCUUUGGGGCGGGUUCACAGGUGGUGCAUGGUUGUCGUCAGCUCGUGUCGUGAGAUGUUGGGUUAAGUCCCGCAACGAGCGCAACCCUCGUUCCAUGUUGCCAGCACGUAAUGGUGGGGACUCAUGGGAGACUGCCGGGGUCAACUCGGAGGAAGGUGAGGACGACGUCAAAUCAUCAUGCCCCUUAUGUCUUGGGCUUCACGCAUGCUACAAUGGCCGGUACAAUGGGUUGCGAUACUGUGAGGUGGAGCUAAUCCCAAAAAGCCGGUCUCAGUUCGGAUUGGGGUCUGCAACUCGACCCCAUGAAGUCGGAGUCGCUAGUAAUCGCAGAUCAGCAACGCUGCGGUGAAUACGUUCCCGGGCCUUGUACACACCGCCCGUCAAGUCACGAAAGUCGGUAACACCCGAAGCCGG
This 1081-nucleotide ribosomal RNA is filed under the name Micrococcus sp. RNAcentral's name for it is "bacterial SSU rRNA". The record is from RNAcentral. Lineage: Bacteria; Bacillati; Actinomycetota; Actinomycetes; Micrococcales; Micrococcaceae.